RNAcentral lists this transfer RNA (77 nucleotides) under Deltaproteobacteria bacterium. Its description in RNAcentral is "tRNA-Met". It matches the Rfam family "tRNA". From Rfam's summary of the family: Transfer RNA (tRNA) molecules are approximately 80 nucleotides in length. Their secondary structure includes four short double-helical elements and three loops (D, anti-codon, and T loops). Further hydrogen bonds mediate the characteristic L-shaped molecular structure. tRNAs have two regions of fundamental functional importance: the anti-codon, which is responsible for specific mRNA codon recognition, and the 3' end, to which the tRNAs corresponding amino acid is attached (by aminoacyl-tRNA synthetases). tRNAs cope with the degeneracy of the genetic code in two manners: having more than one tRNA (with a specific anti-codon) for a particular amino acid; and 'wobble' base-pairing, i.e. permitting non-standard base-pairing at the 3rd anti-codon position. The record is from RNAcentral. Lineage: Bacteria; Pseudomonadati; Myxococcota; Myxococcia.
CGCGGGGUGGAGCAGUCUGGUAGCUCGUCGGGCUCAUAACACGAAGGUCAUAGGUUCAAAUCCUAUCCCCGCAACCA